UACGUAGGUGGCAAGCGUUGUCCGGAUUUACUGGGCGUAAAGGGCGUGCAGGCGGUCUGUUAAGUCUAGGGUGAAAGCUCCCGGCUCAACUGGGAGAGGUCCUUGGAUACUGGCGGACUUGAGGGAGGCAGAGGAAAGUGGAAUUCCCGGUGUAGUGGUGAUAUGCGUAGAUAUCGGGAGGAACACCAGUGGCGAAGGCGGCUUUCUGGGCCUUACCUGACGCUGAGACGCGAAAGCUAGGGGAGCAAACGGG
This 253-nucleotide ribosomal RNA is filed under the name uncultured bacterium. Its description in RNAcentral is "partial 16S ribosomal RNA". It matches the Rfam family "Bacterial small subunit ribosomal RNA", at positions 524 to 776 of the family's 1533-position model. The record is from RNAcentral.